GGCGAACGCUGGCGGCGUGCCUAAUACAUGCAAGUCGAGCGGGGAUUAUGCUUGAUCGCUUCGGUGAGACGGCAUAUAUCCUAGCGGCGGACGGGUGAGUAACGCGUGGGUAAUCUACCUCGUAGUUCGGGAUAACAGGCCGAAAGGCUUGCUAAUACCGGAUGAGUUCAUGCUUAUGCAUAUAGGCAUGAAGAAAGGGCUAGCCCGCUAUGAGAUGAGCCCGCGUCCCAUUAGCUUGUUGGUGGGGUAAUGGCCUACCAAGGCAACGAUGGGUAGCCGGCCUGAGAGGGUGUACGGCCACACUGGGACUGAGACACGGCCCAGACUCCUACGGGGGCAGCAGUAGGGAAUUUUCGGCAAUGGGCGAAAGCCUGACCGAGCGACGCCGCGUGAGGGACGAAGGCCUUCGGGUUGUAAACCUCUGUCUGGGGGAUGAGAACGGACGGUACCCCGGAGGAAGCCCCGGCUAACUACGUG
RNAcentral lists this ribosomal RNA (477 nucleotides) under uncultured bacterium. RNAcentral's name for it is "bacterial SSU rRNA". It matches the Rfam family "Bacterial small subunit ribosomal RNA", at positions 28 to 507 of the family's 1533-position model. The record is from RNAcentral.